Molecule: long non-coding RNA, 3339 nt
Organism: Corvus hawaiiensis (hawaiian crow)
Lineage: Eukaryota; Metazoa; Chordata; Aves; Passeriformes; Corvidae
Exons: 2
Source: RefSeq, a predicted model, not a curated record
GCUGCGGCGGCUCCCCCGAGGCGGCCGGGGGCAUCCCCGCCGGGGGUUCCCGGGGAGGAGCACGGAGGGAUUCCCGCUGGAGCCUCAUCGCCCCGGGGGAUUUGCAGGCGUUUGGCUGUGCCCGCGUCCCUCGGGGGUGUGUUUUGAGCAGGGGGGGUCCCCCCGCUGUCCCCUGCGGGUGAUGCUGGCGCUCCAUCCUGCCACCCCGAGCCUGGCUGCUCGUGCACCUGCUCAGCUCCCUCACCUCCAGCCCUGUGCCCAGCUGGAAGUCACCACCUGUGCCGAGCCCAAAGCCCCCUCCCCGUCCCCAUCCACAUCCACAUCCAGCGCUUCCAACCCUCCCUUGCACGUGCUGCUCCUUCCAGCAGCUCCCCAGCCAAUAUUCCAUCUCUCCUUAUCUUGCAGGGCUCAGGGCACGGAUUAAAGCUCUUGGAUAAAGGUCACGGGGAACAACUCACUUGCUGCAGGACGCAGAUUGCUCCAGAAGAACCUGGGAGGGAUCAGCUUUGCAAUGAUGAGGCCCCAGCAGUGGCCUCAGACCCUCUCCUGAUGUGAUGAGAGGAUGUUUUUCAACACAGAAAGGCUUUGCAACUGUUUUAAAAAGAAUCCCAAAGCAACCAGGGAGAUGUUUUUGCCUCCUCUGCAUCCCGUGUAUCUGGACAUCCACAAACACACAAAUUCCAUGUUAUGUUGAUGGAUAAAAGGCAGCUCUGCUCCAUCACCAACGAGCUGGAGGCCCCUGCAAUUGUUCCUAAAACUCAACUCAUUCUUACCCACAGACCACGAGAACAGCACAGAGCCCCAGUGACUUCACCAGGGUUUGGCUCUGCUGUGCUGCACAUGAGCCAAAACACCACCAGACCCCGGUGUCUUCCCCCAAAAAGACAGCUCGUGGGCUAAAAACUCCAUUUCAGUGCCUCAGCCAUAUCAAAUCAAGUCAGAUGAGGAAACAGGCAGCCAAAGGGUUUGCAGAAACCACGAGUGUGCUCACCAGAGGCCUCACCUGGCAGUAAAUCUCCCGGAGGAGGCAGGGAGAGGCAGCCAAUGUCAACAAGAGGCACUGGGAAGUGGUGGUGACACCCCUCCAGCAGCAUUUCCCCCUGCAGACAUCAGCCCUUCUCUUUGGAAGGACCACUCCUCUCUGCUGGCAGCGAGGAUCUGACACAGGAUGGCAAGAAAGAGCUGCUGGGACCCUCUGUGUCCAAAAAUCCAACAGAUGGAGCAACAUUUCAGACCUGGAGCCUGACACUGUGCCCCAAAACCCUUGGGAUCCUGAGCAGCAACCACACCCUUAGUGCUGCUGAUACACACAACCCUCCUGCCUCACAGGAGCUGGCAGGGAAGGUGCUCCCAGCCCUAAAAUCCUCUGCCUGUCCCCAACUUUCAUCCCAGAGCCUGUUCUUUCCUCACAUCUGUGAGUCUGUGGUACAGCAAGAAGCCAGCAAGGUCAGCUUACCCCUCCAACAAAAAUAUUAAAGAAUGGAAAAGGAGCAGAAAGGGAACUCCCUGCCAGGGCUGAGAUCCUCCACUCCCCUCACUCCUCCAGAAUGACAUGGCCAUAAAAACAGAGCAUCCCAUCCAGGAUGGAGGGAGAAGGGCCCUCAGGUCCUGAGGCAUGUGGGGAACCAAAUCCAGCCCAUCUCUGACUUGCCACCACUUUAAAAAAGGCUGUUUGUGCAUUUUUAACUACUUUCAAACAGGCUGUUCGUGCCCAGCCCUGUGGGAUGGGGCAGCUUGGUCAGCACAGGCUGCAGGAACCUCUCCAGGCCCAUCCAUUGUGGGAUACACCAUUCCCAUCCCCUCGGGAUCCCAACAGAACGGCCACACCUUCCUAAAGCCACAAAUCUCUUCCCCAGAGCAGGGGGAGCUCAGCCCUGGCUGAGGAGGGGGCUCUGCACGGCAGCCAAGGCCCUGAGUAAAUAAAUAAACCCCAACCUUUGUCCUCCUGACGCUGCUGGCAGCAGGGCAUGGAGUUCACCCACUGCUCCUGAGCUUAUUUAGUGCACACAGGACAACGCCAGGGGAAAAAGAAAUUAAAAAAUAAGAAGGCAGGAGUGUGGGGAGUGCUCUUGUUCCCAGUGCAAAGCAAACACUGGGUUGGAGGAGCUGGAUUUACACUCCCUGAGGGAUCCAAAGGCACCAGGACCAUCCAGGGCAGCAGGAGAGUGAGCCCCAGGCUCAGCACUGGUGAUGGAAGAUGUGCAGAUCCCUCAGGAAUCUCCAUCCUGGACCAUUAUUUCCUUCUACACCCUCGCAAGGGUCUCCUCCAGCUGCAGACCCAAACUUCCCUGCACACACACGGUUUUCCAUGCUCAGGACAUCCAAACCAAGUCCAUCCAGUGCUGGAAAAUCUGACCCCAGCCCUGGUGUGCUGGGAAUUAGGGCUGUCCCACAGAGCUGCAGGGCUGGGCUCACUCAGCAGCUCUGAGCACUGAAAUAUUCUGCUAAACUAAAUUUUCCCCUUGGUGGAGAUGGGUGCAAACUGCAAAUUAAUGGGUGUUUGUCUGAGGGGGUUUCUUCUUUUUUAUCCACUCCUUUCGUGCUCUUUAUGGUAUCUGAUAUUGAGUUAGAAAAGUCCUUGAAGGGAAAUAAAUUCAGAUCAUGAGGUCAUGAAAGACAACAGCUUCUCCUCUCCCACAAAACUCAGAUUUAAGGAUGUCCUCACUUCUCCAUCAAAAAGAAAUUAAAGCUCUUCAGUGCAUUAUGCAGAAGCCAGGGACCAUCCCAGAUAACCUGCUGGAAUUUCAACAGCAAAUCUCUGGAAACAGAGACCUUUGCCCUCAGUCCCUGCUGGGGGUACCCUCCAAAGCUCUUGGCACACCUGUAAAAAAUAUAUUUUUCAGAUGAAACCCAUUCCCACUUCCAGGAAGGACUGACUGAUUUUGCUGGAAGAUCCCAAUCUCUUGCCAGCCCACCUGUGUUUUGGAAGUCCUGCAGCUCACCCCUUUAUCCAGGGAUUUGGCAUCUGGAUUUCCAGAUCACAGGAAACCAGGUGGGAAUUUGUCCUUGGACACGUCAGCCCAGCUGCACACCUGGCACUGGAAGGUCACAGCCACAACUGUGCUGCCAUGUGGGAAUGCCCUGGCCAUAAAAAGGAGGGAGAACUCCUGGAAGCACCAGGAGAUCUCCUCUCUCAGGCACCUCCAGCCCCUUCUCUGGCUGGUAGAGCUGGUGUCCAUGUCCAUGAAAUCCAUGGAGCUUCUGGUUUAAAUGAUUUUUCUGGCUCUGCUGAGAGGGUUCUUCUCUGUUGUGGCUUUGGAAGCAAAUCAAUCACUUUGCCUUCCCUUUACAUCUCUUUACAAAUAAAUCAAAUAAACCUUUUUUUGUUUUUGUUUUUGA